GCUGCCAUUGCACAUGCGCACGCCGCAGCAACUUCUGGCUAGAGGAAGCACCGGGGCAGCAAGGAGGUAUGCUACAGCCCCACCAGACCGUUUUAAAAGGCAGCACCGGCGGGGGAAAUGCGGCAGGAGGGGUAAGAGCACCCUCCCCCAUCCUUAAAGAGACACACACCCCCUCAAACCGGCCAAACUGCCGGUCUUUUGAGUUGGUUCCGUGCACAUCCCUAAUGCAUCCCAGCCCAAGAUGGCAGCUACAGAGAAAGUUGGAACAGCUGCACCUCUGCUGGAAAUGGUGUCUUGAGCCAAGUUCUGCUAUGUGUGAACCUCAGACAGCUUUCAGAGAGACAGGCACUAUGGAAGAUGGUACCUGUGCAUCUGUGUAUCUCUGACUUCCAGACACCUUGCUUAUGAACUUUCCAAAGGCACCAGUCUAACCAUGUUGGAAGAGAAUUCGGGACAAGAGGGACCUUUGAUCUGCUCCAGCAGGAUUGUCACUGACUUAAAAAUCUGUCCAAGAUUCCUAAAGAAACCUCAAUAAAUAUUCAUGUCACUC
This is a long non-coding RNA of Hemicordylus capensis (graceful crag lizard), 550 nucleotides long. RefSeq lists it as uncharacterized. The transcript is spliced from 3 exons. The record is from RefSeq and is a predicted model, not a curated record. Lineage: Eukaryota; Metazoa; Chordata; Lepidosauria; Squamata; Cordylidae.